RNAcentral lists this ribosomal RNA (253 nucleotides) under uncultured bacterium. RNAcentral describes it as "partial 16S ribosomal RNA". It matches the Rfam family "Bacterial small subunit ribosomal RNA", at positions 524 to 776 of the family's 1533-position model. The record is from RNAcentral.
UACAGAGGGGGCGAGCGUUAUUCGGAAUUAUUGGGCGUAAAGGGCGCGUAGGCGACUUUUCAAGUGACGGGUGAAAUCCCUCGGCUUAACCGAGGAACUGCCUGUCAGACUGGAAGGCUUGAGACCGGGAGAGGUGAGUGGAAUUCCCAGUGUAGCGGUGAAAUGCGUAGAUAUUGGGAGGAACACCAGUGGCGAAGGCGGCUCACUGGACCGGAACUGACGCUGAGGCGCGAAAGCGUGGGGAGCAAACAGG